CUACGGGCCGCUGCAGUGAGGAAUAUUGCACAAUGGGGGGAACCCUGAUGCAGCAACGCCGCGUGGAGGAUGACGCAUUUCGGUGUGUAAACUCCUUUUAUAUGUCAAGAAAAUGACGGUAGCAUAUGAAUAAGCACCGGCUAACUCCGUGCCAGCAGCCGCGGUAAUACGGAGGGUGCAAGCGUUACUCGGAAUCACUGGGCGUAAAGGACGCGUAGGCGGGUUGGAAAGUCAGGUGUGAAAUCCUACAGCUUAACUGUAGAACUGCACUUGAAACUUCUAAUCUAGAGUAUGGGAGGGGGAGAUGGAAUUAGUGGUGUAGGGGUAAAAUCCGUAGAUAUCACUAGGAAUACCUAAAGCGAAGGCGAUCUCCUGGAACAUUACUGACGCUAAGGCGUGAAAGCGUGGGGAGCAAACAGGAUUAGAUACCCGGGUAGUC
This 439-nucleotide ribosomal RNA is filed under the name uncultured bacterium. RNAcentral's name for it is "partial 16S ribosomal RNA". It matches the Rfam family "Bacterial small subunit ribosomal RNA", at positions 339 to 795 of the family's 1533-position model. The record is from RNAcentral.